Molecule: transfer RNA, 72 nt
Filed under: Camelus bactrianus (Bactrian camel)
Lineage: Eukaryota; Metazoa; Chordata; Mammalia; Artiodactyla; Camelidae
Also listed under: 2 other names
Rfam family: tRNA
About the family: Transfer RNA (tRNA) molecules are approximately 80 nucleotides in length. Their secondary structure includes four short double-helical elements and three loops (D, anti-codon, and T loops).
Source: Rfam by way of RNAcentral
GAGGGUAUAGCUUAGUGGUACAGUUUCUGCUUAGCAUGCACGAGGUCCUGGGUUUAAUCCCCAGUACCUCCA